CAAAAAUUCUCCCACACGUCCAGCACCUCUCUGCACCUCCUACUCCGCAGGAUUACCACCCUGCCCCGGCCCAUCAUCAUACAGCUGCAAGGGUCCCACCAACCGUCCAUCAACCCGAGCGUAAAGGGCCACGAAGACCAUAUAAGCCGGUCCCGUAGGCGCCCCUGUAUCUAUUGUCAAACACGAGGUGCAUUUGACAAAUACGACUCCCGGGAAAUGGCAGUCCCGGAAGUCCUC
RNAcentral lists this long non-coding RNA (237 nucleotides) under Eucalyptus grandis. RNAcentral describes it as "long non-coding RNA (EGRA_LNC002448)". Lineage: Eukaryota; Viridiplantae; Streptophyta; Magnoliopsida; Myrtales; Myrtaceae. The record is from RNAcentral.